RNAcentral lists this ribosomal RNA (253 nucleotides) under uncultured bacterium. RNAcentral's name for it is "partial 16S ribosomal RNA". It matches the Rfam family "Bacterial small subunit ribosomal RNA", at positions 524 to 776 of the family's 1533-position model. The record is from RNAcentral.
UACGGAGGGUGCAAGCGUUAUCCGGAUUCACUGGGCUUAAAGGGUGCGUAGGUGGGCAGGUAAGUCAGUGGUGAAAUCUCCGGGCUUAACCCGGAAACUGCCGUUGAUACUAUUUGUCUUGAAUAUAGUGGAGGUGAGCGGAAUAUGUCAUGUAGCGGUGAAAUGCUUAGAUAUGACAUAGAACAUCGAUUGCGAAGGCAGCUCGCUACACUAUUAUUGACAUUGAGGCACGAAAGCGUGGGGAUCAAACAGG